Molecule: ribosomal RNA, 442 nt
Filed under: Pristimantis quaquaversus (Rio Coca robber frog)
Lineage: Eukaryota; Metazoa; Chordata; Amphibia; Anura; Strabomantidae
Description: partial 16S ribosomal RNA
Rfam family: Bacterial large subunit ribosomal RNA
Source: RNAcentral
GAGGUCUAGCCUGCCCAGUGACGUUCAACGGCCGCGGUAUCCUAACCGUGCAAAGGUAGCGUAAUCACUUGUCUUCUAAAUAAAGACCAGUAUGAAAGGCACCACGAAGACUAAACUGUCUCCCCCUUCUAAUCAGUGAACCUAAUCUCCCCGUGAAGAAGCGGGGGUAAAGCCAUAAGACGAAAAGACCCUAUGGAGCUUAAAACAAUUGUAUGUUUUUGGUUGGGGUGACCGCGGAGAAAAAUCCAUCCUCCACGAUGAAAAAUGAGCCACAACUUUAUGUAUUAAUAAAUUAACAUCUUUGACCCAAUUACUUUGACUAACGAACCAAGUUACCCUAGGGAUAACAGCGCAAUCCACUUUGAGAGCUCCUAUCGACAAGUGGGCUUACGACCUCGAUGUUGGAUCGGGGUAGCCUAGUGGUGCAGCCGCUACAAAGGUU